Molecule: ribosomal RNA, 386 nt
Filed under: uncultured bacterium
Lineage: Bacteria
Description: bacterial SSU rRNA
Rfam family: Bacterial small subunit ribosomal RNA
Source: RNAcentral
AACGAACGCUGGCGGCAGGCCUAACACAUGCAAGUCGAACGCCCCGCAAGGGGAGUGGCAGACGGGCGAGUAACACGUGGGAACGUACCCUUCGGUUCGGGAUAACUCAGGGAAACUUGAGCUAAUACCGGAUACGUCCGAGAGGAGAAAGAUUUAUCGCCGAGGGAUCGGCCCGCGUCUGAUUAGCUUGUUGGUGAGGUAACGGCUCACCAAGGCGACGAUCAGUAGCUGGUCUGAGAGGAUGAUCAGCCACAUUGGGACUGAGACACGGCCCAAACUCCUACGGGAGGCAGCAGUGGGGAAUAUUGGACAAUGGGCGCAAGCCUGAUCCAGCCAUGCCGCGUGAGUGAUGAAGGCCCUAGGGUUGUAAAGCUCUUUUACCCGGG